RNAcentral lists this transfer RNA (87 nucleotides) under Candidatus Omnitrophota bacterium. RNAcentral's name for it is "Candidatus Omnitrophica bacterium tRNA-Leu". It matches the Rfam family "tRNA". Rfam says of the family: Transfer RNA (tRNA) molecules are approximately 80 nucleotides in length. Their secondary structure includes four short double-helical elements and three loops (D, anti-codon, and T loops). Lineage: Bacteria; Pseudomonadati; Candidatus Omnitrophota. The record is from RNAcentral. RNAcentral also lists the same sequence under 1 other name.
GCGAGGAUGGCGGAAUUGGCAGACGCGACAGUUUGAGGGGCUGUUGGUUGCAAAACUAUGAGGGUUCAAGUCCCUCUCCUCGCACCA